Molecule: long non-coding RNA, 1174 nt
Organism: Gallus gallus (chicken)
Lineage: Eukaryota; Metazoa; Chordata; Aves; Galliformes; Phasianidae
Source: Ensembl
UGACACACUGCCAAGCCCAUUUCCAUGACAAAUUAAAAAAAAAAAAAAAAAAGUGCUUGAAUAGUGAAGGAAAGGGUGUAAGACCAUUUAACUCUGUUUUCUAAUAGUUACUGAAGUGGCUGUUACACCUACAGAAUAAAUGAGUGGUCUGUUAUUUCUGAAACUGAAGCUCAUUAAAAACAAACCAAAACAUCAUCACACACAGACCAAAAAAAAAAAAAAAAUAGAAAACCAAAACUAAAGAGGCAUUCAAAAUGUCAUUUGUAUAACUCACCUGACUCAGUCUCGAUGUUAUAAUUGUACAAUGAAAUAUGCUUAGGGCAAAAUGAUCCAGAUUGCCAGUGUCACCAGGCUGACAGUAAUAUGUCUAGGAAAACAGCAGGCUUCCUAUGAACAGCUGAAUGUUUGCAUUUUUCAAAGUGAAGGAGUAAGGGGAAAGAAGUAUACCAAGGAGAACAGUGUCUUAGAGAAGAGGAAAUGGGGUAAUAGGAACGAAGACAGCAGAACAUGUUACUUGAAAAGUUGGGGAGAAGCUGAGUUAUUUUCUCAAAAUAAAUUAGUUCUCAUUUACCAGGUCAGCAUAUUUUAAUCAGUCUAAUGUAGGCUGUCUGAAGUGCUACCUGUGUUGAUUUGAAAGUCUCAGCUGGUGUGACACAGAUUUUCUGAAUAUCUCAGACAAACAGGAGGCCAAAAGACCAAGAGAUCUUUUACGGUGAACCCAGAGGGUCCCUGGUGAAAACUGACAGGAGGGGGAAAUGAGACAAAUGGCAUAUUAGCUGAGAGACUUGCCCAUUUCUUCAUGGGAUGUAUCAAAGCCUGACUUCAGAAAGAUGCUUUUGGCUGAAAGAUUUCACUGAGCAGCAGGGAGACCCAGCAGCUGAUGUCUGGUAAGCCCCAGUAGGAGUGUUUUCCAGACUAAAGUCUUCUAGAUGAGAGUUUGGAAUUUACAGAGCCUUGGCUGCAUAAGCAAAACACAGGUAAGUCUCCCUUCCUGUUUACUUUCCACGCUCCGAAGAGGAUCAGAUCAGCCUGUGGGAUGGGAAGGCAAGGAGAUGAUUAUUUUUGGAAGAUAGCGGGAAGAAGACAGGACAGGUAGUUGCUUUACCUUAAAAUCUGCUGCCUUAUAAUGCUUCUCUGCUUACCUGAAGACCUGCAUGUUAUGCAGAACCUGCAU